This 337-nucleotide RNase P RNA is filed under the name Candidatus Howiella intestinavium. RNAcentral's name for it is "Bacterial RNase P class A". It matches the Rfam family "Bacterial RNase P class A". Rfam says of the family: Ribonuclease P (RNase P) is a ubiquitous endoribonuclease, found in archaea, bacteria and eukarya as well as chloroplasts and mitochondria. Its best characterised activity is the generation of mature 5'-ends of tRNAs by cleaving the 5'-leader elements of precursor-tRNAs. Lineage: Bacteria; Bacillati; Bacillota; Clostridia. The record is from RNAcentral.
AACAGGCCGGACGGCUGCGGGCGUCUUUUUGAGCGCCUGAGGAAAGUCCGAGCUCCACAGGGCAGGAUAGCGGCUAACGGCCGCCGAGGGUGACCUUAGGGAAAGUGCAACAGAGAUAUACCGCCGGCGGUUUUGCCGCCGGCAAGGGUGGAAAGGCGAGGUAAGAGCUCACCGGCGCGCGGGAGACCGCGCGGCCCUGCAAACCCUAUCCGGAGCAACGCCAAGUAAGGCUAUACGCUUGCCCGGCGUGCCUUGAAAGGCGGCUGGAGCCGGCGGAGCAAUCCCCGGCCAAGAUAGAUAGUCGUCCAAGACAGAACUCGGCUUACAGGCCUGGUCG